This 224-nucleotide long non-coding RNA is filed under the name Capsicum annuum. Its description in RNAcentral is "long non-coding RNA (CANN_LNC006355)". Lineage: Eukaryota; Viridiplantae; Streptophyta; Magnoliopsida; Solanales; Solanaceae. The record is from RNAcentral.
CCUUUCUUUUGCAAUUGGUCAAUGCUCAGAAGAUUAGUCUUCAAUUCUGGAACAAAAAGAACAUCAACAAUUGUCUGGAUGAAAUCUCUGUUGGUUUGAAUUAGAACCUGUCGUUUUCCCAUGGCUGCAACUUUGAAGUUGUUCUCGAACUUUACGCUAUCUCGAAAAGAUUUGUCCAAGGCAAAGAAAACUGAUUUAUCUCCACUCAUAUGAUUGCUACACCC